This is an RNA transcript of Theobroma umbraticum, 3531 nucleotides long. It is a transcript of the gene named PWWP domain-containing protein 5-like, with no coding region annotated. The record is from RefSeq and is a predicted model, not a curated record. Lineage: Eukaryota; Viridiplantae; Streptophyta; Magnoliopsida; Malvales; Malvaceae.
AACAAAAAACCAUUUCCGGGAAACACCAGACACGACCUUCCAUUCCCUCUCUUUCUCUCUUUCUCACUCACCAAAACCCUACCAGGAUUUUCCAAUUUUUUACUCUUGAACUAGGGCAACUCCAUUUAUAUUCCAGCAUCAAAUCCAAGUAAACGACGGGUUCUUCAAUGUCAAAAAAAAUUCCCGAGGAAAUCGACUUGAACUGUGAUGCUCUUCCGGUUGACCGAGAAAACGAGGAUAAUGAUGUGAAUGUUGAGGAGCCGGCCUCUGGGGCGGGUACUUCUUCAACCAAAACCCUAACAGAACGAACAGUUGAUGGGGUUAGGGUCUUUGGAAAGGGUAAUGAGUCGGCUGGUGGGAUUGAUGAGCAAGGGGAAGACAGCAAAGUGGAAAGUUUGAAACAUAAAGGGAUUGAUUUGGAAGCUGAUGUUGGAUCCUUAGGUGAAGAGGUUGAUGAUCAAGGUAGCGCCCGGUUUAGCUCGGGUGGGGAUUCUUUGAUGGAGGUCGAUGGAGGAUCAAGAGGACAUGGAGAUGGAGAGAGUGUUUCUAUGGAAGAGAAGAAACCAGCGGUGGCUGAUCAAAUUGCUGUGAGAUCUUCUGGUGGGGUAGCCGAGGAUCUUAAUGUUAGUGUGUGUCCUAAUGAGGACACGUUGAUAGAGGGGAAUUCUGUUAGUAUUCAGUUGAGCUCGUUUGCUGAUAAUACCAUUCAAUCUGGUAUUGCUCAUGAUUUAGGUUCUGGUGAUACGAAGCCUCUUUCUUCAGCAUUAGGUCCUGAAAACUCUUUACCUUACGGGGAGCAGAAUGUGAGUUCAAAGGAAGGAUCUUCUGGCAGAUUAGAAGGUCAGGAUAUGGAGAUUGAUACACCUGAUGAUACCAACAAAAGAAAUUUAAUUACUGCCAUCCAAGACGAAGGGGACAGGGUUUUUCAGAAUGCAGAAAACGGGUCUAAUCUGUUAAAUGAUGCGGUAGACUUGAAUCCAUACACAAGCACAGACGAUGAUGUAUCUGACGAUGUUGAUGUAAAACCGGAAAAACCAGAAGAACCUGAAUUUUGUGUCUCUGAUUUAGUCUGGGGUAAAGUAAGGAGUCAUCCUUGGUGGCCGGGACAAAUAUUUGAUCGUUCAGCUGCCACAGCAAAGGCGAAGAAGUAUUUUAAAAAGGACUGUUAUUUGAUUGCCUAUUUUGGUGACCAGACAUUUGCUUGGAAUGAAACAUCACGGAUCAAGCCCUUUAGGCCCCAUUUCUCACAUAUGGAAAAGCAGAACAAUAUGGAAGAGUUUCACUAUGCUAUUGAUUGUUCUUUAGAUGAGGUUUCUAGACGCGUGGAGUUUGGUCUGGCCUGUUCUUGCAUUUCCAAGGAAGCAUAUGCGGAGGUUCAAACUCAGAUAAUUGUUAAUACUGGGAUCCGGGAAGAAUCUAGUAGAAAAGAUGGUGGGGACAGAUUUUCAGGUGUUGCUUCUUUUGACCCUUUUGAACUUGUUGAGAGGAUAAAAGCACUGGCCCAAUCACCUUCUUAUAGCGAGGUUGACAGACUGCAAUUCAUAACAUCACAGGCACAAUUGUUGGCAUUCCAUCGCUGGAAGGGUUACUCUCAGCUACCUGAAUUUCAAAAUCUAUGCGGAUUGUUGGAGACUGAUGCGGAGAUACCUCUCUCCGAAGAAGAAAAGAAACAUUGUGAACUGAUUGGAGAUGAUUUUCCUAGUGUUGAAGUUGACAAGCAGGUGCUUUCUGAAAGAGAGAAGUCAGAGAGUCAAGAUGGCUCUUCUCAGAAACAAAAGAAAAUCCCAGGGGACGCUAAAGUUUCCAACAAAAAGGAGAAAAGCUUGUCAGAGUUGAUAGCUGAAAGGCGCUUGAAUAUGCAAAAUGGAAAAAGGAAAUUGAAUAAGAAAGCUGGUGACAAGUUAAGUGCUUCAUCCCCUGCUAAAAAACCAAAGGUGGUGGACUCUGUGCAGGAUAACUUGGCAUUGAAACAGAAUAGAAGUAAUGCAUCAACAGGGUCUGUUGAUAAGUCUCUGCAGUCUAAACAAACUUUCAGAGUUGGAGCUAGCAUACUUCGGGUUGCAAACCAACUGAAUGGUUCCAGUUCAACAGUUUCAACUCCAGUACUUAAGCAUGGUGAUGGGACAUCUCAAAAAAAGUCUGCAGUUAAUAAUAAAAGUAAAGGAAGAAAUUCGUCUGGUAAAUCUCCAGGGAAGACGGCUUUUCAAACAAAUAUGUUUUCCCCUGAUGAGAUGCUCUCACAGCUUUGCUUGGCUGCCACAAAUCCCCUGAAAGGGUAUAGUUUUUCGUCCUCUAUGGUUUUUUUCUUUAUGGAGUUGAGGAAUUCAAUUGCUAUGGAUCUUAACAGCUCUGAAAUGUCUGAACAAUCUUCAGAACAAGGAACUGAUGGUGAACUGGGGGAGAAUUCAACCAGGUUUGAAGUUACUGGAAAGUCUGAGUUGACUUCAAUCAAAGACACCUGUUGUUCUGAUAGGAUAAUCCAAUGCCUUCCUGAAGAGCAAUUAGCAGUUGACAACCACAACCAAACCACAGAGGUUUCUCCUGACACUCCCAGUGAAAAGGGUUUUUCUGUCAUUGAAUCGCAACCAGCUGCUCAGGCAAGUCGCAAUUUGAAUUCUGAACAGAAAUGUACAGUCACAGGUGAAAAUCUUGGAAUGGAAGCAGAGAAACGGAUAGAAUACUCAGAUGAAAGUUAUACAGAAGAUCUAUCUCCAACUGCUUUGAUUUUGAAUUUUUCAGACUUGGAAUCAGUUCCGUCAGUAGAAGACCUGAAUACGAUAUUUGGCCGUUAUGGGCCUUUGGUUGUGCCAGGGGCUGAAGUGUUGAAAAAGAGCAUCCGUGCCAGAGUGGUUUUUAAAAGACACGCAGAUGCAGAAACAGCUUUCAGCAGUUCUGGAAAAUACAGCAUUUUCGGACCCUCACUUGUUAGUUACCGCCUCAAGCGUCUGGCUUCUGCACCGCCUAAAUCAUCUCCAGUUGCAACUAAGCGAAGCAGAACAGAUGAAACAUGUGGAGAUGGAAGUACUUCUUGAUGCGAUGGAUUCUAGUCAAGUUGAUGUAAAGAGAGGUUAAGCAUUCACACUCAAGGGUUUCUUGCUGGAGCUUUGGGCUUGUUGAGGUGGUUCAGACAUACUUGAGAACUUCCAACAGCUUCAGAUGGAACAUGAUCUUGGCUCUUUGAACAUUCUCAUUCGUGAUGCUCAUCAUGAGUUGCGGGCAUCUUCCCCGACAUCUCAUUGGCCUGUAAUCAUGAGAUUUUAAGGGUGGCACCUGGCAGCGCCUUCCCAUCAUCACGUUACUGCUCAUCGAACAGGAAAUAUAACAUAGGCCGUAAAUCAUUCGUCAAAUUCAAUGCUUCCUUCUCAUUCCCUCCGGCCCAAGAUAAUUGGGUGGGUGAAAUAUUCACUUAAAUGAGGCGCAUUGAAGAAGUAAAAAAAAAAAAAAAAGCGGUAAAUUGUACUCUUUUUAUGACAGUUAAAAUAUGCGCAAGUUUUUCCUUAGGUUAAUUUGUGAAAAGGUUAAUUAUUUGGG